CUACGGGGUGCACCAGUGAGGAAUUUUGCGCAAUGGGGGAAACCCUGACGCAGCAACGCCGCGUGAGCGAAGAAGGCCCUCGGGUCGUAAAGCUCUGUCAAGUGGGAAAAAAAUUUUUUGAUCAAUAGUCAAAAGACUUGAUGGUACCACUGGAGGAAGCACCGGCUAACUCCGUGCCAGCAGCCGCGGUAAUACGGAGGGUGCGAGCGUUGUUCGGAUUUACUGGGCGUAAAGAGCGUGUAGGCGGUUUAGCAAGUCAGAUGUGAAAGCCCUGGGCUCAACCCGGGAAGUGCAUUUGAAACUGCUUCACUAGAGUAUGGGAGAGGAGAUUGGAAUUCCUGGUGUAGCGGUGAAAUUCGUAGAUAUCAGGAGGAACACCCGUGGCGAAGGCGAUUCUCUGGACCAAUACUGACGCUGAGACGCGAAAGCGUGGGGAGCAAACAGGAUUAGAUACCCCUGUAGUC
RNAcentral lists this ribosomal RNA (464 nucleotides) under uncultured bacterium. RNAcentral describes it as "partial 16S ribosomal RNA". It matches the Rfam family "Bacterial small subunit ribosomal RNA", at positions 339 to 795 of the family's 1533-position model. The record is from RNAcentral.